RNAcentral lists this ribosomal RNA (484 nucleotides) under uncultured bacterium. Its description in RNAcentral is "partial 16S ribosomal RNA". It matches the Rfam family "Bacterial small subunit ribosomal RNA", at positions 30 to 507 of the family's 1533-position model. The record is from RNAcentral.
AUUGAACGCCGGCGGCAGGCCUAACACAUGCAAGUCGAGCGGAUGAAGGGAGCUUGCUCCUGGAUUCAGCGGCGGACGGGUGAGUAAUGCCUAGGAAUCUGCCUGGUAGUGGGGGAUAACGUCCGGAAACGGGCGCUAAUACCGCAUACGUCCUGAGGGAGAAAGUGGGGGAUCUUCGGACCUCACGCUAUCAGAUGAGCCUAGGUCGGAUUAGCUAGUUGGUGGGGUAAAGGCCUACCAAGGCGACGAUCCGUAACUGGUCUGAGAGGAUGAUCAGUCACACUGGAACUGAGACACGGUCCAGACUCCUACGGGAGGCAGCAGUGGGUAAUAUUGGACAAAGGGCGAAAGCCUGAUCCAGCCAUGCCGCGUGUGUGAAGAAGGUCUUCGGAUUGUAAAGCACUUUAAGUUGGGAGGAAGGGCAGUAAGUUAAUACCUUGCUGUUUUGACGUUACCAACAGAAUAAGCACCGGCUAACUUCGUG